CUCACAGGCUCGCAGUGGAAUCUGCAUGGAAGUGUUAGCGAGACCAAUGCAACCCAUUGUGACUUCGGAUUGCCCAGCAGGAGCAACCCAAAGGUCUGAGAGGAAUUUCCUCUUUCCUCAGGGCUCCUGGAGCUUAUAUAUGCCGGUGAGGAGAGGAACGAAAACUUUCCCGCACCCCGAGUGGUGUUGAAUGCUUGGUUUGUGCACUUCCAAGUCACAGAUACGUGAAGCAGUUUUGAAAUUCUCCAAUAGUACCAAGUUUCCCUGGGAGGAGGUGAAAACAUAACCCCAAAUUCAGUGCUGACUUCUAGUUUGGGAAAGAGAGAGGUGGACCUGAUAUUUACAAUCGUUCAGAGCGCUUGCAGAUCCGUGGAUGACAGACCUUCAAUUUUAGCUAUUUUUGGCCUCCUCUGUAACCUUUUUGCCUUUCCCAGGUACUUCCCAGCACCUUGUAGCUAUUAGGCGAGCAAGAAAAAAAAAAAAAAAAAAGAAAAAAAAAAAAAGGAGUUUAAAGGACAACAAUCUAAUCCUUUCCAGCGCAUGUAUCUGUCUCAUUAAAGCAUUCUCCUGGAGCGGUGUAAUGAUACAUCAAAUGGAAUCCAUUUCAAGGGCACUGCCAAUGUUCCAGGGACUGAGAUUCCUCAGGACACGACAAAAGUAAUCUCUGCUGCUGAUGGUGAUGGAAGAAGAGAGUGCCAAUAAGUUGAGCAGCAGAGUGGAGCACCUCAAGGAGACCAGGAAGCAGGAGGAGGAAGGAAAAGAAAAAGAUAAAAGCGCGGCACAUGAUGUGUUAUCUCUCAGCUGGCCUGCCAACCCAAAAUUAAAUCCUGUUGGUUUAACUUGUUGACUUUACAGGAAAACAAGGCAAUAAAAUGAAACUUCUCCUAAUAAAACCCACUAUGAUUUGCAAGAGGAAAAUGUAGCUGGAAGAUCAUAUGUACUUUAGACAUCUGAACUGGAAA
Passer domesticus (house sparrow) is the source of this 962-nucleotide long non-coding RNA. RefSeq lists it as uncharacterized. The record is from RefSeq and is a predicted model, not a curated record. The transcript has 3 exons. NCBI's taxonomy places the organism in Eukaryota, Metazoa, Chordata, Aves, Passeriformes, Passeridae.